This is a non-coding RNA of Lentinula aciculospora, 86 nucleotides long. The record is from the annotation of a GenBank genome assembly. NCBI's taxonomy places the organism in Eukaryota, Fungi, Basidiomycota, Agaricomycetes, Agaricales, Omphalotaceae.
GCCUUCUUAGCUCAGGGGUUAGAGCGUUGCACUUGUAAAACUGUAGUUUCAUGCAAAGGUCGUUCGUUCGAAUCGGAUAGGAGGCA